UUUGUACUUCGGCUAAGGUGCUG
Molecule: microRNA, 23 nt
Filed under: Ascaris suum (pig roundworm)
Lineage: Eukaryota; Metazoa; Nematoda; Chromadorea; Rhabditida; Ascarididae
Also listed under: 2 other names
Description: asu-miR-239-5p
Gene: asu-miR-239-5p
Source: miRBase by way of RNAcentral